CCUACGGGAGGCAGCAGUGAGGAAUAUUGGUCAAUGGUCGGGAGACUGAACCAGCCAAGCCGCGUGAGGGAUGAAGGUACAGAGUAUCGUAAACCUCUUUUGUCAGGGAACAAAGGCGGGGACGUGUCCCCGGAUGAGUGUACCAGAAGAAAAAGCAUCGGCUAACUCCGUGCCAGCAGCCGCGGUAAUACGGAGGAUGCGAGCGUUAUCCGGAUUUAUUGGGUUUAAAGGGUGCGCAGGCGGUUUUUUAAGUCAGCGGUGAAAGCCCGGGGCUCAACCCCGGGCCCGCCGUUGAUACUGGCAGUCUCGAGUUGGAGAGAGGUAUGCGGAAUGCGCGGUGUAGCGGUGAAAUUCAUAGAUAUCGCGCAGAACUCCGAUUGCGAAGGCAGCAUGCCGGCUCCACACUGACGCUGAGGCACGAAAGCGUGGGUAUCGAACAGGAUUAGAUACCCGGGUAGUC
RNAcentral lists this ribosomal RNA (460 nucleotides) under uncultured bacterium. RNAcentral's name for it is "partial 16S ribosomal RNA". It matches the Rfam family "Bacterial small subunit ribosomal RNA", at positions 338 to 795 of the family's 1533-position model. The record is from RNAcentral.